This 6850-nucleotide long non-coding RNA is filed under the name Sus scrofa (pig). Its description in RNAcentral is "lncRNA (ENSSSCG00000055248.1)". The record is from RNAcentral. Lineage: Eukaryota; Metazoa; Chordata; Mammalia; Artiodactyla; Suidae.
GAGUUAAUUAAUAAGCUGUGUGUAAAAUUUUGUCCACGGAUAGUGUAAUAAACCAUUAGGUGAACAAGAAUUAGACUUAUUUUGUUCAGCCACUGUGAUUCUAGGGAAUCUUCUGUUAUAGAAGUCAGCAUUAUCUAAUUUAAGGACUGUCAUGAAAAAGCUAGGAAAUUGAGACUUGGUUAUGUUAUCAGGUUGAAAUAAUUUACAAGAUGCUGGCAAAACUGGGAUUAGCCCUCAGAACUGCAGAAAUUACCCAUUGUAAGGGACUUGAAUGAGCAAAGAAAGCAACAGAUUAGGAGAAAUUUUAGAAGAGAUCAAAGAAUGAAAGAAGGGUGAAGGAACUACCUCAUUGAUUAUUUAUUAUCUACAAAGAGUCCUUGAGCAAAAAGUAGGUGGGGCAUUCUUCCUCUCUCUUCCUUCCCCAAAGGGAAUAACUCCUCUGUUCAUUAAAUUAGCUUUGAUGCUGAGGAUGAACUUGGUAAAUACUACAUGAUACCUUACCUUCUCUAAUUUAAUGUAUUCUCUAACUUAAAGGAAGACAAAAGAAAGGAAGCGUAAAGAGAUUUAGUGAUUGAGCAAACCAACUCGUGCCUUUCACAUUUUAUGCCAUUUGCCUACUCCAUUGUCCAUCUAAGUUUCCCUUCCAUUCCAUACAGCAUAAACUCUUUCUGAUAUGAUCCAUAUAUUCUGCAUCUGACUUCAUGGAAAUAAAAAAUAUGUAGGCAUGUAUCUCUAAGUCAUAUCGCUGUCCCUUUGCUAUUUGGUAAGUUGUAAUGUGCUUUUUUUGGGGUGGGGGUUAUUUAUCCAGAGAAGUUUACUGAAGUCAAAAACGAAAAGACAUCUGCCUAUUUUCUGGCUGGACCUUUGUUCCCACAUAUUUCCAUUCUCAGAAACAUACCCUGCUUGACAGACACAGAGAAAAUUGACAUUUUGUGCAAUGUUAAUAGUUCUGAUUUUUUUUUGAAUGGCUUCAUCUAUGUGGACUAAUUAAUGGUAACAUUUUUUAAUAGUUAGAUCAUGAUUACUUAUUGGCGGUGUAUAUUUUGUCAAGUCGGCAUUUGUGAAAAGAUCAGGCCAUGAUCUGACAAGGCUAAUUUAAAUAGUGUUUACAUUGGUGAGCAGUUUGCAAAGGGCAUGUUCACACAAUGUGAUUUGUUUUGUUAACCUAAAGAGAAAAAAAUUGAUGGAGGAGUAAUACCUUGGGAAAUGAAGUUGGGGCAAGAGGGACAGAGGGGUGUGUAAGGGGGGAAAAAAUGGAAAAGCAAAAAAAGAAACUAUGUUUGAAAUACAUCUUUACCUACAUCAUUUUAGUGCAGUGGUGAAAAUAUGUAGCCAAGUGAAGCAUCAGUUAUUUUUCAAGUCUUCAUGAAGUUUAAUCCUUUAGUGGGCUCUGCAAAAUAGAAACCCUGACUUCAGAGGAAUAGUUAGCCCCUUCCCCUUCAUUGGUAUAAGGCUCAGUACAUUUGAUAAACCUGUCAUUACAGCAUAGGGGAUAUUUUGUAUCUGUAUUACUUACAUAUGUUGUAUGACUAUAUUAGUACAAAUGCAGUGACUUGAAGCAACAUAUAUUUAUUAUGUAUAGUUUUUGUGAAUUAGGGGUCCUGCAUUACUUAAAUGGAUCCUCCCCUCCAGGAUCUUCUCUUACAAGGCUGCAAUUAGGGUCUUUCCUGGGGUUGAGGUUUCCUAUGAGCCUGGAUCGGGGAAGGAUGUACUUCCUAAUUUGUACAGUUGAUAGCAGCAUUCAGUUCCUUGUGGACUGUGGAUCUGAAGGUAGCUCUCAAUUGCUUGUCACAUGAACCUUCCCAACACGGCCAUUUACUUCUAUAAAGCCAUCAAGGGAGGGAGUCUCCUGGAAAGAGGGCCAUUAUAAUCUUAUGUAGCUACGUACAUUCUGUCACCUUUGCGAUAUUCUGUGGGUUAGAAGUAAGUCACAGGUUUCAGCCACUUUUGAGGAGAUUAUGCAGGACAGGACAUGAAAAAUGGAAGAAUAACGGCACGUAUUUUUAAUCUAAUCAUAAUCAUGUAAUUUCAGCACCCGAACUCCACAGGUAUAUGUAUGUCCAAAUAAGUCCAGAGUCAUAAACUGAUUAGCCAAAUAUCACCCAGUGAGCUAACAAACAACAGUAGUAGAAUCCAGUGUUCAUCAAGCAAUCUAAAACCCUUUUUAUUUUGUCUUAUUUAUUUGGCUAUGACCACUUCUUAAAUUAUUUUUUGGAAUAAGGGAUGAUCAUUCAUUCAUUGAAGAAAUAGAUACUGAAUGCCUGCCACGUGCCAAGCACUAUUCCAGUCCUUUCAACAAAUAGCACUAUUCCAUGACUUGUUAGCCUUCACCUUUGCAUGUUUACUUCCUCAGUACCUGACUUGCUAACAUUAAUGUGUAUUAUUCAUCCAUUUGUUGUCUUUUCACUCUUAGAUGUAAGCUUCAGGGGAUCAGGGACUUGUCUUUUGUAUUGCUUUGUUGACAGGACUGGAAGGGUGCUUGGUAUGUUUACUGAGGAAGUAAACAUACCAAGGUGAAGGCUAACGAAUCAUGGAAUAGAGUUAUUUUAGAUGGAUGUCCAUGGAAGACAUCUGAUAGUUUGAUGGUAAAGUAGAGAAGUGAGUGCAUUGAAUGGUGCCCCAUAUGGCGGUGAUCCAAGAUAAUGACAAAUGAAAAGGACCUGGUCUCAAGUAUAUAAGGGAAGCAGAUUUUACCUGUCUUCUUAGAUAGACUUGGAUGUGCUAUUAGAGGUUAAUGUCUUCUUUUGACACAGAAGUUAAAUGUCAUUUCCAACGUCAGACAGCAAAGAGAUGCCAUAGAAGAUUUAAACUUGCAUAAUUGAUUCCAAAAUCAGGGUCCAUGCCCCAGGCAAGUGAUUACGUCUCUGAGGUUUCAGAACCAUUUUUCAAAUAUAUUUUAUGCAUCAUAAAUAAAAUGAAUAAAGGUGGAGCUGCUGUGCAUGAUGCAGAAGGUAGGCAGGAGAUGUCCAGGACUCAUCUGACCUAACUACUCAUUCCAGAGUUCCCCCUUUCCAGUGUAGCAGCCCCUUAAGGUUUAAACUGAAGAGCUCAGUUUAUUAGCCACCCUGUUAGACCUUUCCUGUUAGACCCUCUGGUGAGCAUGACCAAACGUCUCAGCAGUGUGUUCUGUAUGAGGCUAACUUAUUCACGGUUUGACAAGGUCAUUACAAAUUUUGUCUCUCUUGAUAGGAACUGGUAUCCUCUUUUGAUUUUCUCUCUGAUUUAGGGAUGAUCAGCAGGCUGAAAGACAGAUGGACUUAGUUAAAUUGGCUUCAGGGUGGAAAGGACCCCAUUUAAUCGGGCAAAAAGACAUCUGCCAUAAUUGGUCAAGUCUAAAGCCAAUAAAAGAGCAAGGAAAGAUUUUUGGCAAAAAUAAAGUCAGGAGACCACAAGAGGCUCUUAGCAUGCAACGGAGAUUAUCUUAUACUCAAUGUAAGUUAUAAAAAAACACCAGGCAAGCUGGAGGUCUAGGGAGCUGUGGCUUAGCUAUGUCUUCCCCAAUUUAAAAUAAAAAUGUGUAGGACCCAGUGCAAACCAAUAUUCUUGACAUGAAUGAGGCACUAUUAAGAUAAAUUUCUACAGAUUGCAGAAUAAAAACUUUGCCCUUAAGGAAAAAAUAGCUGGAGAAAAAGAGGCCAAGGAGGGGUUAAGACGGAUUAUGAUGAUCAAUUAUUAAUACAGAUGAGCCAAGGCCAGCUGAUGCUAUCACACUUCAUCAUUCAAAUUCUCAUUAUUGGAAUAUACAACAGUAAGUUACUGCAAUGGUACUUUCCCUGCUGUGGUUAAGAGACGUUAAUUUCUAAGGCGCCCCACAAGUGACAGUGAGCUUCAGAGGGGCUCAGUGCUAAAUGAUUGGAUUGUAAUUAUUCUGAAAGGGCUUUCAUCAUCAUUACCCAGCAUUCUGCAGAUGCAGCGUGUUUGAAAAUAAACUAUGGCCAAACGAGAGCCACAUCAUUUCAGAUUUGAAACAUCGAGCCUCUGGUUUGCUGAUAUAUUUUUGUGGAUGCAAGUGGAGACGAACACAAAUGUACUCAGUCUGGCAUAUAUCAUCUUAAAGUUGUUUAGCUAAUGCAUCCACAGCAGUGCAGACAAGGAGAUCUGUAUGCACACUUCUGAAGCCAUGAUCAAUGCAGUGGAGGAGAACUUUGACUCAUUCUUUGCUUCAUUCAUUUCAUUCAUUCCUGCAAACCUUAGGUUAAGCACCCUGCAUUGUGUUGUUACAACAAUAAAGAAGGAGAAUAAAACCCUGCCCCAGAGGCGUUCCCUAUCCAAAGAGUUCUUCCAGUAAAUGUUUGGAUUCUCCUCUUGUUUACACCCCAACAGGACAAGCUAAUUGUCUGUUUACUUUGCCAGUGUGCCUUAAUUAUAAGGCUUUCAAGGCCAUUAGCUGAUGAGGCUGUUUACAUGUCACAAGUAGGUUUGAAUUUCACCUCUCUGGCCCUUCAUUCUUCUUGCCCUCCAAGAGGCUCAGGUGGGAGGACAAGGGGGCAGGGCAACAGGAUAAAAAGAAAGUAAAGCAAGUGCUCCUGAGAAACUGUCAGUAGCAUUGCAUCAUAUCACAGGGAGAGUUCUAAAAUGUCAGUUUUCAUAAGAAAACAUACGUUCAUGUGCUAUGAUGAUCAGAGUUUUGCAGUUUGCAAUCUAAUUACAGGAUAAUGGGCACAAGAGCUGAUUAACUCUAGCACAGAGUAAAUUGUCAAAGAGAGGCCCAGUGAAUGAGGCCAGCGUUAAAUACUAGAGCCAUUCCAGGAAGGGUCAUGUCAGUGUGGGGACAUGGAGCUCCUUUGUGACAGUAGGGAGGUGAAAUGAGAAUUAGGUAGGGAGAAUUGAAAUAGAUGGAAGGUUCUGGAAAAAGUAUCAUCCUAGGAGUUUAUUUCCUAAUUCCCGUUUCACCUUUGUCUUCAAUACUACUCCCUUCUCUUCUCAUUCUAAUUUCACAGUAUCCCUUGGGACUGUCUCUUUCAUGCCAUCUCUCUCUCACCAUCUUUGUACAUACAGGUCAUUGUCUUAAUUAAAAUCACCUCCUAGUGGGCUUCUUUUCUCUUAACUCUUUAUCUCCUUGAUCUUUCUGCUACAAUCUUAACAUUGUAGCCAAAUCUUUUAAAAAUGUAAUCAAGAUCACAUCAGUCUUCCACUUAAACCUUCCCAUUGCCAAUAAAUCCCGUUUGCUUGUCAUGGCUGGCAGACAUGACCUGAUCUGGUCCCCUCCCAGUCUCUCCAAACACAGUUCCUGCCAUUGACCUUUUCCUGCAUACAUUUCUGACCUAUUGGCAUCCGCUUCAUUCCCCUAACUCACAAGGUCUUCCCCAUAUCAAAGCCUUUGUCCUGGCUGGAUAAUAUUAAGUUUGUAAUGCCCUAUGUAAACUGAGACUUAAAUACAUCAUGGGCGUCAGAAUUGCUGGGCAUAUUUUGAAAUAAUUAUACAGGUGCAAAUUAUAUCUACAUUGUACCCCACAGGGAGUUUUUGAAGGCAUGAUAAAUGACUCAGCUAUGUUACCCAACUUCUAUUUAGAAAUUCUAGAGAUCCUCACAGGAUACUUUCUCUCUCAUACUUUCUCACUCUUUCAACCAUGAAAUAGUUUAUUAUUAUCAAAAGUGUACAGAUGAGGAAACUGUGGUCCAGAAAGAUGAGGUUCCUUUUCCAAGAUCAUGUGCCUAAGGUAGUGGCAGAAUCAGACUUUGAACUUAGGUUUUCUGACUUGAUUUCUUGCUUGAGUCUAUACUACAAAUACUGGAGAAAAGUGUUCCUUCUUAUGUAACCUGAAAUUAUAGAGACACUCAACUUCCGAUGUCUCUGAUAAAAUUUCAUUUCUAGCAGAGUAUGUUUUCAGGCCUUUUUACUAUAAUGUAAGAUUGGAUAAGAGAACACAACCAGGAUUCCUUUAGUAGUUACUCUCACCUGGUGAUUGUGAUGGUUGUGAGUCAACUGGAGCGUAUAAAUAGUAUCAGUCGGCCUUUUAUUCACUAUCAGAUGCUAUUUCAAUCUCUUUGGUCUCUGAGUGUUAUUGCUUUAAGUGUGGAUUUUCAACAUGACUCAUUAAGUGGUUAUAUUAUCCUAAAGUACUGGAAGAAUACAUCAGAAGUAAGUAUUAAGCAGUUGGGGCUGUGAAUUGGGAUGCAAGAUGGUUCUUAUACUGAAAUCAUUACUAUAAACUCCUUUGACAAGUUCUAAUAGCUGUUAGAUGCUGUUUUAGGUAAUAGCUCAAAGGGAAAGAAUAUUUAAGUCGAGGCUUUUUUUUUCUUUAAAAGAAACUCAUUAGCUAUGCUAGAUGAGCUAGUCUACAAGCUAGAUAAAAAUCUAAUAGGACUAAACUUGCAUGUGAACAUUAGCAAAGUAGCAAAGUGAUAGUGAUUGGUUAGUAUUACCUAUUUACCUCAUUAGUGGGAGGUAAUCCAGGAGGAUUAGGGAGGGAUCCAAUUGUGCUGGCUCAUUUGCAAGUUAUGGCCCAAAUAGAACCACUAUGGACAUUAUGAGUUGACUCUCUUUUGUUCUACUCCUAACUUACUAUAAUAUUCUGAGAGUAUCCAUUAAGGCCAGGAAUUGACCUUCAGCAUUUAAUUGAUAAGCUCAAUGUGUCUCUUUCCAACCCAUUAGGUUAAUAUCUAGAAUAUUUUCCAAAAGAGCCCAACAGAACAGGAAAACUAUAGAUGGCAGCAAUUAGUUCUUCGGUGUAGGGGAAUUUAUUCUCUCUAAAUUUAUUAUUUAGUGAGACCAGUGGUAGUUCAGGGAAACAAACAUUGAAAGUAUGAUUUUUUUGUGUCUUUGACUGUCCUGAAAGAUCCAGUUCUUUUAGAGAUCAUUCUUUUCAUAUGCAUCAGAUAGAUUCCCCUUCUUCCAAGUUCACUGUAG